UGUGGAUUGACAGACUGAAAAAGCUGGAGUCUGAUGACUUUAAGCAGUGACUGCAGGAAUAUUACAUAUUCAGGAAGAAUGGAGCUUUGUCUACUGGCUGACCUUUUCCCAUUCAUUCAUACUUCACCCAGGACUCCCUGGUGGUACUGCUUGAUCCAAGGUAACCAUCUCCUGAGAAAUACUGAUCGGCAAAGAACUUCUGCCAUGCUCAAUUAUCACAAGUACUCAUCUCUCUGCUCCUUCUGUCGUGUCCUCAGCCCUUUUGAUGGUUCCUGUAGGUGACAGUGGAGUACACACCUACGACAACC
This 308-nucleotide long non-coding RNA is filed under the name Cricetulus griseus (Chinese hamster). Its description in RNAcentral is "lncRNA (ENSCGRG00015040152.1)". Lineage: Eukaryota; Metazoa; Chordata; Mammalia; Rodentia; Cricetidae. The record is from RNAcentral.